This 22-nucleotide microRNA is filed under the name Oreochromis niloticus (Nile tilapia). RNAcentral's name for it is "oni-miR-10645". Lineage: Eukaryota; Metazoa; Chordata; Actinopteri; Cichliformes; Cichlidae. The record is from miRBase by way of RNAcentral.
GUGAGCAGUUCAUCAGUUUGGC